This 524-nucleotide ribosomal RNA is filed under the name uncultured bacterium. RNAcentral's name for it is "partial 16S ribosomal RNA". It matches the Rfam family "Bacterial small subunit ribosomal RNA", at positions 28 to 523 of the family's 1533-position model. The record is from RNAcentral.
GACGAACGCCGGCGGCGUGCCUAAUACAUGCAAGUCGAACGCUUCUUUCCUCCCGAGUGCUUGCACUCAAUUGGAAAGAGGAGUGGCGGACGGGUGAGUAACACGUGGGUAACCUACCCAUCAGAGGGGGAUAACACUUGGAAACAGGUGCUAAUACCGCAUAACAGUUUAUGCCGCAUGGCAUAAGAGUGAAAGGCGCUUUCGGGUGUCGCUGAGUGAUGGACCCGCGGUGCAUUAGCUAGUUGGUGAGGUAACGGCUCACCAAGGCCACGAUGCAUAGCCGACCUGAGAGGGUGAUCGGCCACACUGGGACUGAGACACGGCCCAGACUCCUACGGGAGGCAGCAGUAGGGAAUCUUCGGCAAUGGACGGAAGUCUGACCGAGCAACGCCGCGUGAGUGAAGAAGGUUUUCGGAUCGUAAAACUCUGUUGUUAGAGAAGAACAAGGACGUUAGUAACUGAACGUCCCCUGACGGUAUCUAACCAGAAAGCCACGGCUAACUACGUGCCAGCCGCCGCGGUAA